UGGGGAAUAUUGCACAAUGGGCGCAAGCCUGAUGCAGCCAUGCCGCGUGUAUGAAGAAGGCCUUCGGGUUGUAAAGUACUUUCAGUCGGGAGGAAGGUGUCAAGGUUAAUAACCUUGGCAAUUGACGUUACCGACAGAAGAAGCACCGGCUAACUCCGUGCCAGCAGCCGCGGUAAUACGGAGGGUGCAAGCGUUAAUCGGAAUUACUGGGCGUAAAGCGCACGCAGGCGGUUGAUUGAGUCAGAUGUGAAAUCCCCGGGCUCAACCUGGGAACUGCAUCUGAUACUGGCAAGCUUGAGUCUUGUAGAGGGGGGUAGAAUUCCAGGUGUAGCGGUGAAAUGCGUAGAGAUCUGGAGGAAUACCGGUGGCGAAGGCGGCCCCCUGGACGAAGACUGACGCUCAGGUGCGAAAGCGUGGGGAGCAAACAGG
Molecule: ribosomal RNA, 429 nt
Filed under: Chloroflexota bacterium
Lineage: Bacteria; Bacillati; Chloroflexota
Description: Chloroflexi bacterium partial 16S ribosomal RNA
Rfam family: Bacterial small subunit ribosomal RNA
Source: RNAcentral